RNAcentral lists this ribosomal RNA (274 nucleotides) under Pseudomonas aeruginosa. RNAcentral's name for it is "partial 16S ribosomal RNA". It matches the Rfam family "Bacterial small subunit ribosomal RNA", at positions 1132 to 1405 of the family's 1533-position model. The record is from RNAcentral. Lineage: Bacteria; Pseudomonadati; Pseudomonadota; Gammaproteobacteria; Pseudomonadales; Pseudomonadaceae.
UGGGCACUCUAAGGAGACUGCCGGUGACAAACCGGAGGAAGGUGGGGAUGACGUCAAGUCAUCAUGCCCCUUACGGCCAGGGCUACACACGUGCUACAAUGGUCGGUACAAAGGGUAGCCAAGCCGCGAGGUGGAGCUAAUCCCAUAAAACCGAUCGUAGUCCGGAUCGCAGUCUGCAACUCGACUGCGUGAAGUCGGAAUCGCUAGUAAUCGUGAAUCAGAAUGUCACGGUGAAUACGUUCCCGGGCCUUGUACACACCGCCCGUCACACCAU